GAUGAAGAACGUAGCGAAAUGCGAUAAGUAAUGUGAAUUGCAGAAUUCAGUGAAUCAUCGAAUCUUUGAACGCACAUUGCGCCCGCCAGUAUUCUGGCGGGCAUGCCUGUUCGAGCGUCAUUUCAACCAUCAAGCCCCAGGCUUGUGUUGGGGACCUGCGGCUGCCGCAGGCCCUGAAAAUCAGUGGCGGGCUCGCUAGUCACUCCGAGCGUAGUAAUACAUCUCGCUCUGGACGUGCUUCGUGCUCCGGCCGUUAAACGCCUUAUUUACCCAAGGUUGACCUCGGAUCAGGUAGGAAGACCCGCUGAACUUAAGCAUAUCAAUAAGCGGAGGA
This 334-nucleotide unclassified non-coding RNA is filed under the name soil metagenome. RNAcentral describes it as "partial contains 5.8S ribosomal RNA, internal transcribed spacer 2, and large subunit ribosomal RNA". The stretch from base 1 to 120 matches the Rfam family "5.8S ribosomal RNA", at positions 35 to 154 of the family's 154-position model. The record is from RNAcentral.